AGAAAAAUAGAAGACAACAACAACAGAAAAUGAAAAAAAAAAAAAAAAGGUUGUCUGAAGAGAAAAAAGCGAUUCGACAUCAUAGAUCUGAUUCAAUCCUCUUUCGGAUCAGACAACCUCUAUUUCCAAAUUGAAAAACCCAGAGUAAGAUCCAUCAUCAAUCUGUCUUAAUGGAGUACCGGAUGUCGUCUUCAAUUGAUAAGAGAGCGUUUCUUCUGAGCAGCGAAAUCUAUAAACGAAUAUGGGUGUUCUUUAUAAGGAACUCUAAUGACUUCCACUCAACCAAAGAUAAGUAACCCUAAACCCAUUUCUUGAUUUGUAAAUACGUAUGACUUUUCUAUCUAAAAACUCUAAUCUUUUUGUUUUUUGAUAUUACCUGGUCAGGGUUAAAUUACUUUCAUUAAGAAGAAGUGAAACAACCCGACCCCCUUUUUUUUUUUAACAAUUAAAUACAAUGUAUAAUUAAGCAUCCCAUACUACUUAAUUAACCAACCCAAACCACAACUCAACAUUAAACCAGCAAUAACAUUAAGCACAGCGGAAACAUACCAAUAAUACAAAACCAACAACAUCAUCAAU
Non-coding RNA from Camelina sativa (false flax), 579 nucleotides. The record is from RefSeq and is a predicted model, not a curated record. Lineage: Eukaryota; Viridiplantae; Streptophyta; Magnoliopsida; Brassicales; Brassicaceae.